Molecule: ribosomal RNA, 460 nt
Filed under: uncultured bacterium
Lineage: Bacteria
Description: partial 16S ribosomal RNA
Rfam family: Bacterial small subunit ribosomal RNA
Source: RNAcentral
CCUACGGGAGGCAGCAGUGAGGAAUAUUGGUCAAUGGGCUUACGCCUGAACCAGCCAAGUCGCGUGAGGGGAGACUGCCCUAUGGGUUGUAAACCUCUUUUGUCAGGGAGCAAUUGGCGCUACGUGUAGCGUUAUCGAGAGUACCUGAAGAAAAAGCAUCGGCUAACUCCGUGCCAGCAGCCGCGGUAAUACGGAGGAUGCGAGCGUUGUCCGGAAUUACUGGGUGUAAAGGGAGCGUAGGCGGGACUGCAAGUUAGGUGUCAAAUCUACCGGCUCAACCGGUAGCCGCACUCAAAACUGCAGUUCUUGAGUGAAGUAGAGGCAGGCGGAAUUCCUAGUGUAGCGGUGAAAUGCGUAGAUAUUAGGAGGAACACCAGUGGCGAAGGCGGCCUGCUGGGCUUUUACUGACGCUGAGGCUCGAAAGUGUGGGGAGCAAACAGGAUUAGAUACCCGGGUAGUC